Long non-coding RNA from Pieris rapae (cabbage white), 574 nucleotides. RefSeq lists it as uncharacterized. The transcript has 3 exons. The record is from RefSeq and is a predicted model, not a curated record. Lineage: Eukaryota; Metazoa; Arthropoda; Insecta; Lepidoptera; Pieridae.
CGCCGGUCAGAGGGCGCCUCUGCAGUCAGUGCUGUGCGCCCGCGCACGUUGCACCAAUACUAGGUGCGCGCGAGUAUGGACCGUACGCCAGAUGUUUACUAUGUAAUGUCGGAUGUACCUACAGUCUGUGCUUGCACCUGUCAAUGCCGUUGCUUGCAGACGCUCUUGGACGCGCGGCAGAUCUGUGGCGAAGAAGGCAGCGAGCAAAUCUCCUGUCCUAAAAAGGGACCAUAUUUUCUUAAAAAGCUUACCCUUGAUAAAUAUAUACAUAAUUACCAAUAUGAUUGAUUUGAUGAUCUACCAUAGUUCUAACUAGGACAUGGAAAAAUCAAAAAGGAAAAUCGAAACAAUGAGUCAACAACGCGUCUAAACGCGAUGAUGCAAUGAAUCCGCAUUCCACAAAUUUGCAUUUCAAGUACUCUGUAACGUGACAUACUUACAUGUAACAAAUGUACCUUCAAAGUGGGGCAUAAAGUGGUCGAGGGGACAGACGCAUUUCAUUUCAUUCAGGGCGAGGUCGUGUUUUGAUUGCAAAACCAAAAAUAAAAAUUACACUGCAUCUCCUGGCUAUAGA